Molecule: transfer RNA, 71 nt
Filed under: Marmota monax (woodchuck)
Lineage: Eukaryota; Metazoa; Chordata; Mammalia; Rodentia; Sciuridae
Description: tRNA.Ala
Source: RNAcentral
GGGGUCAUAGCUCAGUGGUAGUGUGCUCACCUAGCAUGUGUGAGACCCUGGGUUCGGUCCUCAGCACCCCA